GAAAUUACGGCAGUUAAUAUUCUGCCACAAAUAAAUCUAAUACGGAAGAAAAAAAAUAUUCAAAACAAAUAGCAUACUUUCUCCGCUUUGGAAACUGAUUUAAAGAUCCUGAUGAUCUGAAGCCUGGCUGAGAGGACGCUGUCCGUCUGGAUACCUGCACUCAGAAAAAAAAUAGAGGAGGAAGUCAGAGGCCUGACCUGUCCUCCAGAGCACUGUGUCGUAGAAAAAGGAGAACUCCAUCUCGGUGUGAUGCUCCAGGGAAGCCCAGCCUCUCGGUGCUGUCACGUAGAUGUAGGACACGUAGAGAGGAACCUGCACCGUCAGGAAGGACUGAGCCGAGUCCCGAACCUGGAAGAACGACAGCAUGCUUUAACAGUCUCCACCUGCAGGCC
Long non-coding RNA from Eleginops maclovinus (Patagonian blennie), 392 nucleotides. RefSeq lists it as uncharacterized. The record is from RefSeq and is a predicted model, not a curated record. NCBI's taxonomy places the organism in Eukaryota, Metazoa, Chordata, Actinopteri, Perciformes, Eleginopidae. The transcript has 3 exons.